CGGGAAUCUCGCCGAACUGGUGAUGGCGUUGACCUGCACGUUGUCGAAGCCGGACAGGACGGCGCGCCGCUCGUGGUUCUGCUCCACGGUUUUCCGG
This 97-nucleotide transfer RNA is filed under the name Sphingomonas bisphenolicum. RNAcentral describes it as "tRNA-Val". The record is from RNAcentral. Lineage: Bacteria; Pseudomonadati; Pseudomonadota; Alphaproteobacteria; Sphingomonadales; Sphingomonadaceae.